This 31-nucleotide non-coding RNA is filed under the name Rattus norvegicus (Norway rat). The record is from RNAcentral. Lineage: Eukaryota; Metazoa; Chordata; Mammalia; Rodentia; Muridae.
UCCAUCACUGUUGCAGAUGCCAAUUGAGUCU